Molecule: long non-coding RNA, 788 nt
Organism: Bradysia coprophila
Lineage: Eukaryota; Metazoa; Arthropoda; Insecta; Diptera; Sciaridae
Source: RefSeq, a predicted model, not a curated record
GACAUUUCAAUAUGAAAAUAUUUUCACAGAAUUUUUCUUUCAAUUUUUUUUUGUGUUCCAAUAAUGUGCAUAGCAUUUCACAAACAACAAAAAAUGUAAUGUGAUCAAAUUUAUCCUGAGUGUAACGAAAGUUUAGACGCAAAAACAAAUCUAACAAAAUAUCCACUCGUUUCGUGUGCUGGUUGUGAAAAUGUGUUAAAUUAAGAACAUAAACCAUAAACGUUUUUUUUUAAUCUCAUAAAUUGUCAAAGGCGUCAAAAUUGAUUUUCCUUGCUUUUCGUUAGCGUAUGGAAAAUUUAGUUGGGCUUUUUCGGCAGACAAUUGGUUGUUUUCCGUUUUGAAAAUAAUGCAUUUCAUUGUACAUUCUUCGAUGUAGUUUAUUCGGAAUAGAUCUGUGUUAUCAAGAAAGUAAAAUAUUAUAUAUGUUUUAGGCAGUAAGUGUUUCAAAAAUGUCUUCAGAACAUACAUUCUGUGGUACCUGGGAGAUAGCUGAAUGCUCCUUAAAUGCGAGACCCGGAAAUCACUGGACUGGAGGGGAUCAAAUUUCGCUUGGAUGAAAUGGGAGACAUAAUAUGGUAUAACGAUUUGAUUCAUUCAAACUUUGGUGACAUGGUCACCCCAUGAAUCAGCAGAAGCUUUGUUCAGCUGUGAAACGUACGAACUAAUCGAUGCCAUGGCUGAAGGUCCGGGAUUGUUGUUUGGAGCUUUUGCUGGACAUAAUAUAGAGUUUAAGACUGAUAACUAUACGCCAAGUAAUACAAUGUCAUUGUCAUGUGAAGGCUGGUAUA